GCCCGGAUAGCUCAGUCGGUAGAGCAUCACACUUUUAAUGUGAGGGUCCAGGGAUCAAGUCCCUGUUUGGGCG
Molecule: non-coding RNA, 73 nt
Organism: Danio rerio (zebrafish)
Lineage: Eukaryota; Metazoa; Chordata; Actinopteri; Cypriniformes; Danionidae
Source: Rfam